RNAcentral lists this long non-coding RNA (1600 nucleotides) under Cimex lectularius (bed bug). RNAcentral's name for it is "uncharacterized LOC106674086". Lineage: Eukaryota; Metazoa; Arthropoda; Insecta; Hemiptera; Cimicidae. The record is from RNAcentral.
UUUUGAUAAAUUUAAAAUUAAAUUUGGGCUCUGAAAGUUUUACAAGGUGAUAGGUUUUACACUUUGUGGAAUGAAUCGUACUUAUAUGACAUUGUAACAACUCAUUCCGAAACAUGGAGGUAGAUUGUGAAAGGAAAUGCCAACGUCUUUAUCUUUGUUUUGCUACGUUUAUUCACACAGGUGGUGUCCUUAACUUUUCCGCAGGAAUGUGUUUUCGAUUGUAUAAAGAUAUUACCCACGAAGACCAGGAUUUCUUCAUGAGAUUUGGCUAUUCCUUUAAAUAUGCCUCUAUGGUAAACGCAGUAAUCCAGUUGUUAUAUUUCUUUAUGGCUCUCACAGUUGACAUUAUGAUAAUUUGUUCCUAUACUUUGGACGCACCUCCCCGAUGGUUGAAGGCGAGAUCAUUCUUUAGAUUGGCGCUAGCUAUACCAUGUGGAUUUUAUACAUGUGUGAUGUUUUGGCUAUUAAGUUGGUACGAUGUCACCGUGUUGGGUGAUUACGAUUCGCCAUUGUUGCGUCAUGCAUUCCACACGUCGAACCUCGUUCUUUUAAUGUUUGAUAUGAUCUUCUGCAAGGGUGAACCUUCCAGCAUUAUAAAAUCUCUACUUGUGAUAAAUAUCCCAUGUAUAAUUUUCUUCAUAUGGCUACAUAUCAUUUAUUACUUCACUGGCGAGUGGGCGAUUUCUUUCGUGAAAAAUCGAACCCUCGUGGAAAGGCUGUUAAUAUACGUUGGAACUGUACUGGAACAUUGGGUGGUUUAUUUCAUUGGUAGACUUUUUAAUGACAUUUUGUGGAAUGAAGAUUUCGUCGCUCGAAUCCCGUUUUUACGCCGUUUUGUCUCAGUGCCUCCUCGCUUCAUAUUUGGACGUCCUUCUACAGAUUCUACCAAAUUUGAAAAAGUCUUGAGCCGAACCGAAAGCAUAUUUGUGGACCGACCAAAUAAAUAGAGGAAAACUCAGUCCAACUGAAAGCAAGUUCCUUAAAAGUGAUGAUAUUCGGUUCUAUAUUAAGUUUAUUUGAGGUAACUCUGAUAAGAAAUGCUCCUUUUCGCACUAAUAAAUGAAAAUAUGAAAAUAUUUUUCUUUAGUACUUUCCUAUAAAUAUAUCACACAUUUGCAAUAAAAAAACAUCUUAUCCAUCCGACAUUCACAUGUUUCACAUGUCGAACACAUAAUCGGAUUUAGUAUCGACUAGAAAUGAAAGAUUUGAGUUACUGAACGCCUGCCAGACGUCUAAAAGCUUCACUCCCGCCCCUGGAAUUUUCCGACAUCACAAAAUAUCUUAACUCUGUUCAUCAUACUCUAGCUAGGCUAAUGUAGUAGACAUAAGACUAGAUUCUUUCGCAUUAUACCACUAUGAUGCCAAGUCCAUCGAAGACAGUCUCAUUCAUAACUUCCCACUGUCGUAAUGUCUUCUUUUUUUUCAAUCAAUUCCACUUUCUUAAGAUUACCUAGUUUCAAAGAUCGAUGAGAAACUUGUACUUUCAAAAGCCCAAACCUCUUCGCCCCGUAAUCUUUCUAAAGCACUACUAUACACAGCUGACACAACGGAGAUAAUACUGUAAUUCUAUACUACAGAAAUUCAUAUAGGAGUUAUGACU